AUUGAACGCUGGCGGCAGGCCUAACACAUGCAAGUCGCGCGAGCGGCGGACGGGUGAGUAAUGUAUGGGAAACUGCCUGAUGGAGGGGGAUAACUACUGGAAACGGUAGCUAAUACCGCAUACCAUCAGAUGAGCCACAAAGGGAUUAGCUAGUAGGUGGGGUAACGGCUCACCUAGGCGCCGAUCCCUAGCUGGUCUGAUAGGAUGACCAGCCACACGGGAAGUGUGACACGGGCCAGACGCCGACGGGAGGCAGCAGUGGGGAAUAUUGCACAAUGGGCGCAAGCCUGAUGCAGCCAUGCCGCGUGUAUGAAGAAGGCCUUCGGGUGGUAAAGUACUUGCAUGCGGGAGGCGUUACCCGCAGAAUAAGCACCGGCUAACGCCGUGCCAGCAGCCGCGGUAAUUC
RNAcentral lists this ribosomal RNA (406 nucleotides) under uncultured bacterium. Its description in RNAcentral is "partial 16S ribosomal RNA". It matches the Rfam family "Bacterial small subunit ribosomal RNA", at positions 29 to 526 of the family's 1533-position model. The record is from RNAcentral.